CCUACGGGAGGCAGCAGUGGGGAAUAUUGGACAAUGGGCGAAAGCCUGAUCCAGCAAUGCCGCGUGAGUGAUGAAGGCCUUAGGGUUGUAAAGCUCUUUUACCAGGGAUGAUAAUGACAGUACCUGGAGAAUAAGCUCCGGCUAACUCCGUGCCAGCAGCCGCGGUAAUACGGAGGGAGCUAGCGUUGUUCGGAAUUACUGGGCGUAAAGCGUACGUAGGCGGUUAUUCAAGUCAGAGGUGAAAGCCUGGAGCUCAACUCCAGAACUGCCUUUGAAACUAGAUAGCUAGAAUCUUGGAGAGGUGAGUGGAAUUCCGAGUGUAGAGGUGAAAUUCGUAGAUAUUCGGAAGAACACCAGUGGCGAAGGCGACUCACUGGACAAGUAUUGACGCUGAGGUACGAAAGCGUGGGGAGCAAACAGGAUUAGAUACCCUGGUAGUCCACGCCGUAAACGAUGAUAACUAGCUGUUCGGGCUCUACGAGCUUGAGUGGCGCAGCUAACGCAUUAAGUUAUCCGCCUGGGGAGUACGGUCGCAAGAUUAAAACUCAAAAGAGUAGUACGCGUGAGACGUGCGACGAGACACAGGGAGGUUAGAG
RNAcentral lists this ribosomal RNA (596 nucleotides) under uncultured bacterium. RNAcentral describes it as "bacterial SSU rRNA". It matches the Rfam family "Bacterial small subunit ribosomal RNA", at positions 338 to 951 of the family's 1533-position model. The record is from RNAcentral.